Anas platyrhynchos (mallard) is the source of this 2819-nucleotide long non-coding RNA. RefSeq lists it as uncharacterized. Lineage: Eukaryota; Metazoa; Chordata; Aves; Anseriformes; Anatidae. The record is from RefSeq and is a predicted model, not a curated record.
AACUGCAAAAAUCAGGCCUUCUGUACAAGCUGUGGUGGGUUGAACUUGGCUGACUGUCCAGGUGCUCACUCAGCUGCUCUCACUCCCCCUCUUAAAAAGGACAAAGGAGAAAAUAAGAUGAAAAAGCUCAUGGGGUUAAGAUAAAGACAGGGAGAGAUCACUUACCAAUUACCAUCACAGGCAAAACAGGCUUGACUUGAGGAAAAUACAUGUAAUUAAUUGCUAAUUAAAAUAGAUUUGGAUAGUGAGAAACAAAGUCAAUUUAAAACAAUACCUUUGCCCUGGCAUCUACCCAUGCUCAAAUCCAUUUUUUCAUUGCUGUCUCCUUUACCCAUCCUAUGCCCAGAGCUGCACAUGGGGGAGCAGGAGAGGAGGAUUAGGCUUAGUCCAUCUCUGCUCCUCUCUGCUGCUCCCUCCUCACACUUUUUCCCCAUUCCAGUGUGAGCCCUUCCCAUGGGCUGUAGUGCUUCAAAAAUUGCUCCAACAUGGGCUCUUUGUGGGCCACAGUUCCUGUCAGGACAGCCUGCUUUGGUGUGGUGUCCUCCAUGGGCUGCAGUGUGGAUGUCUGCUCUGGUGUGGGCCUCUCCUUGGCUGCAUGAGGGGUUCUCUGCACUGGUGCCUGGAGUAUCUCUACCUCCUUCUCUUCCCUCAUUAUUCCCAGACUGUUUCUUACACCUUUUUUCUCAUUCCUCACUCUCUUCUGCACCAUUUUGCUCUUUCUUAAACAUGUUUUCACAGAGGCGCCACCACCUUUGCUGAUGGGCUCAGGUAUGUCUUGCGGUGGGCCCACUGCAGAGCCGGCUGGACUCAGUUGUGUCUGGCAUCUCCUCCCAGAGACCGGUCUGCAGCCCUCGCUGCAGCACCUUCCUAUAGGCACCUGACACACAGCCAUGACAAAAAAUAGUUCAAAGAAAGUUUCAUAAAAUAUUAUGGAGAGAACUCAAAGGUCAUCACAGAUGACCUCCAGAGUGACCAAUCUCAUCAGAAAUCAGUUAUGCUGACUUUGAUUGAAAGCAAUGAGAAAAGUUCAAGAUGUUUUAUGACUUGUGUGAUUGAGGCAAAGAAUCACGGACAGAGGAGGAUUUCAAAGUAGAUCACUCCUUGAGGUGCAAGCUGUCACUACAGCUUACAUUAUACCUUCAAGCAUGGAUUCUGCUCUGCAAGCCAAACAUGUAGAAGGGACUCAAAGCAUGCUUGAAAUUACUUACCUGACUGCACUUCGUGUGAAGAACUCUAUCCUCUCAGCUGUUUUAGAUUAACAGUGAAUUACAGUUCACUUCAAUGCAAUUAGACCUAAUGAGGUGCGUAUGGAGGCUAUUGGGCCACCAUGUAACCACAUUAUAUGGACUUGCUAGUUGCCAUUUUAAUCAAUUGGUUUGACCUUUGAAUGCAAAGUACUACAAAGCACAAAGAAGUUCAUGGCCCAGAUACCUAUUUAUUCAAAUGCAGAGAGAGAUGAUAAAAAAUAGCCUUUGCUCAGGAAAACUGUUUCUCUGGGUAAUCUAAAAAAGAAAUCCUGUUUGCAAAAGGCUGCUUAAAAUGAUUGGUCAUACCAUAAGUGCAGUUGAAAUAUUGUCAUCACUAUUUUACUGUCUCUUCUAUGACUUGAUUUUAAACUUGUCUUGCAUCAUUGGCUAUUUAGGAACCAAGGCUAAAUUUCAAGAAACAAUUCCAUUUUAUCACAUUGCGUUGUGGUAAUGAAAAUCAAACACAACCUCAUGUGAGAUUGUUGGAAGUAGGAAGACUUCAACUAAGGCAGCUUUGUUUACCUGUGCGUGUGCCAGAUUCUAAUUUACAGAAUUGAAUUUUCAUACGAAGUUGUUGUUCAGGGCGGGGAGUUAAAUGUAGAGUUAAAGCUGUGAGAGAUGAUGUUUUGUUUCUCAGGGAAACUUUCUGAGCAUAGCAAAAUGAAAAGCAGUAGGACUAUUUCUACAGGUUUUACAUAGAUAUAAAUCUGUUGCUCCCUACAUAAUUAUAGCUCUUCCAUUAGUUUGUUCCCUGUUUUGCUUCUUGCUGGCAGGCAGCUAAGUACCACAAAGUCCCUGGAUGUGUUUUGUGUUUGUCUUAAUGGAGAAUAUUAAAAAAGAAGUUUGGUGCUUCUUAGAAAUUCAAAGUGAUUUUUAAGUUAAUUAGAAAUAUAUUUAUAUAAGUUGCCAUGAGGUCUUGCCUUGUCUUUAUACCACAUAAUAUAGAUCAGCCUAAAAUGUUUUGUAAACGUACCUACCCAAUAUUUCUGCUGUUAAAACGUUCCUAAGUAUGGACUUCUGUCUUUGAGAGCAAAUAUUUGCAAGUAAUGGCUAAAAUAAUUCUUAUCAGUCACUUCAAGGAGAAAUCUCCUUGGAAUGUUUGAAAAUUAGUGUCUUACAACUUUCAGGAUAGCUUUUGAACCACACCUCCUGAGAGGACAUGAGUCAGAUGUGUGACCUAACAGGAAUUGAGAUAUGAAUUCCUGGUUAUGAGUCAUACUAAGGAACAAUGUCUUGAUCUUUCCUUGAAACUACAAGGAUGUAAGCUUCCUUCUUCCUAUUGUGCUUAGCUUCUAAACGAGAAAUAUUUUGUACUUUAAUUUAAGUAAUAUCACAAGAAAUCAUGCUUUAUUCUAACUGCAUGUAAGGUGACAAGGUAAUUAAGUGAAAUAACAAACAUUUUAUAGAAGACUCCAAAUUAGAUAGGAGUCUCUUUAUCUCCAUAUAUGUAUACACAUAUAAGUAGUGUUAAAAGCUGUCUUAUACUCACCUAAAUGUGUUCAAACCCUUUUUCUGUCUCUAACAUGUUAAUGAUUUCGCAUUUCCAAAAUAAAUACCUAAAUACAUGGAAAA